AGCACACGCGCGCACACCCGCGUGGAGACGGCUGUCCUCGCCCGUCUGCCCCGCGCCCCAGCUGGGACUCACCGUUGUCCAGGCGCGCGAUCUGGGGCAGCCGGUAAGUGCUGACCAGGAGGUCGAGCGGCACGGCCACCGAGCUCCACUUCACAUCCUUGAGGCUGCAGCCCAGCGAGGGCGCCGGGUCCAUCUUCCCCGAAGCCUCCUGUCCCGCGCUCCCCCGCCGCCGCCACCGGCACCACCCGCGCCUCGGCGGCCGCCGCUGCUCGCGCUCGCGGUCUGGGGCGCGCGGGAGGCGCCGGGCAGCUCCGGCCGCGGGCAGCCGGGGGGGCGCGGCGACUGGGGCGGCCCGGAGGGAGGGGGCCGGCGCCCGGCUCAGCUGCCGCUGCGGGGCAUGGCUGGGGCGCCCCGCGUGCCCUCACGCCCGGAGAAGACUCAGAGCAGCCGCGCGGCUGCGGGCGGCGGCGGCGGCCCGGGUGGCUGCGGCGGCUCCCGCUCCGCCUCCUCCUCUGGCCCUGGGUCUGCAGCUGCGGCGGCCGCCCGCUCGCCUCCUCCUCCUCUUACCCCUCCUUCCCUCCGCCUCGAGCGUGUGAGGAGGAGCCGCGGGUCUGAGAAACGCCAUAGCAGCGCUCCCAGCACUGA
RNAcentral lists this long non-coding RNA (645 nucleotides) under Homo sapiens (human). RNAcentral's name for it is "HSALNT0393693". The record is from RNAcentral. Lineage: Eukaryota; Metazoa; Chordata; Mammalia; Primates; Hominidae.